UUUUCAGUGUCGCAGCGAAAGCGAUAAACACACCGCCUGGGGAGUACGACCGCAAGGUUAAAACUCAAAUGAAUUGACGGGGACCCGCACAAGUAGUGGAGCAUGUGGUUUAAUUCGAAGAUACGCGCAGAACCUUACCAACACUUGACAUGUUCGUCGCGACUCUAAGAGAUUAGAGUUUUCGGUUCGGCCGGACGAAACACAGGUGCUGCAUGGCUGUCGUCAGCUCGUGUCGUGAGAUGUUGGGUUAAGUCCCGCAACGAGCGCAACCCUCACUUUUAGUUGCCAUCAUUAAGUUGGGCACUCUGAAAGAACUGCCAGUGAUAAGCUGGAGGAAGGUGGGGAUGACGUCAAGUCCUCAUGGCCCUUACGUGUUGGGCUACACACGUGCUACAAUGGUAUCUACAACAGGAAGCAAGACUGCGAGGUCAAGCAAAUCCUUAAAAGAUACCUCAGUUCGGAUUGCACUCUGCAACUCGAGUGCAUGAAGCUGGAAUUACUAGUAAUCGUGGAUCAGCGUGCCACGGUGAAUGCGUUCCCGGGUCUUGUACACACCGCCCGUCACACCAUGGGAGUUGGUUCUACCUUAAGGCAAGGUUUAAUACCCUUGACCACGGUAUAGUCAGCGACUGGGGUGAAGUCGUAACAAGGUAGCCGUAGGGGAACCUGCGGCUGGAUUACCUCCUU
RNAcentral lists this ribosomal RNA (687 nucleotides) under uncultured marine alpha proteobacterium. Its description in RNAcentral is "bacterial SSU rRNA". It matches the Rfam family "Bacterial small subunit ribosomal RNA", at positions 837 to 1532 of the family's 1533-position model. The record is from RNAcentral. Lineage: Bacteria; Pseudomonadati; Pseudomonadota; Alphaproteobacteria.